GAGGAUGUGUGGAGUGGGGCGGGGCUUGCUUCCGCCGCGUAUUCGCUCGACGCCAUUUCGCGCAUUCGUCUGUUGGUCGGUGUCUGCUGAACGAGCUGGUACGGACUGUAUCCACAAAACAGUACAGCACCGAAUUUUAAUCAUUUUUAGUCUUAAACUCCCGUUUUUGAGGCAGCUUUUUUUUGAACCUCGUCAAUCCAAUCAGGCAGACAGACGACUCGACCUGAAUUACAGACAGAAUGGAGUGAGUUCUGACUAUUCACCCCCUGACAUCCCCUUCAGCACACUUAAAUAUCUUAAUAUGCACGUUAUGUGGCGGU
Molecule: long non-coding RNA, 320 nt
Organism: Cyprinus carpio (common carp)
Lineage: Eukaryota; Metazoa; Chordata; Actinopteri; Cypriniformes; Cyprinidae
Exons: 3
Source: RefSeq, a predicted model, not a curated record